Molecule: long non-coding RNA, 1330 nt
Organism: Papaver somniferum (opium poppy)
Lineage: Eukaryota; Viridiplantae; Streptophyta; Magnoliopsida; Ranunculales; Papaveraceae
Exons: 4
Source: RefSeq, a predicted model, not a curated record
UUUUCUACUCUGCUAUUUAAGCCAUCUAGGGUUUACUUCUCUCCUCAAAUCCCUCGUCUUACUUCCUCUUCCUUUCCUCCUGUGUUUUACGGGGUCUUAAGAGCCACCAACUCCAUAGAUCAUGGUUUAUACCGAUGAAAUGAUCAAUAACAGCAAGAUCCCUCGGUAUACUGAUUUCUCCUAGUAAACUGAACUAUGGAAUUGAUCUGAGAAUGAAUCAAGGACAGAAGGCCAUAUGAUCAGUGAUUUACCUGCCUCAUUUUCCACCCUUGUUCUGAUUUUUCCACUUUUUUUUGUUGUAUGUUUGACAAAUAUGAAAUCUUGUAGAUGGAGGAUUCCGUUUUAUAUGUCUGGAGUCUUUUUGUAACUUAGUAACACAUUCCUCUUGAGUAUAGGACAAAAAACUUAGGCUUAGAGCAAGAAACAAUUGUGGGUUUCAGUGACUUGCUCUGAUUUCACAUUUGUCCAAUGCAGGUUCAUGGGAGAGGGCAAACAAAAAAGGUGAAGGUAGCUGAUUUUAGGAGACGAGCUUCAGUAACUUGUUAUUAGUGUGUUUUAUUAGAGUACCCACAUCUGGUUACAGAGCUAUGCAGAAUCAAAUUUCGUCACCAGUGGAAACAACCUACUUUCAGGCUGAAUCAUGGGUUAACAGUGAUUGGAUCACCAGAUGACGAAACAAGUGAAUAGAAGGAACCAGAGGCUUGCUCUGCAAGGGGAAAAAUUUACAUCCCAAGCUAGAUUUGGACCUUCGACUGAUCCAGCUGGUAAGAGUUUGCACACCAAGUUGGAAGCUAGUAAAAAGAGAGCUGCGGCUAAGACAUUAGAAGAAGAAUCAAAGGCUAACAGCAAGCAGACAAACUAGCAACGAUGACGACGACGAGAACCAGAGAGCAGAACCAAUGCCUUUACCAAAAGAUACUGUUACCUGUUUCCUCGAGUUUGCAGGGCAAGAAUGAUCGAAGUAAAUAAGGUCUAAAAUUUUGCAGAUGAAAAUGUGAAGCAUUUUACAUGUGUUGUCUGGUAACAAAAACAUACUGUAUCACUGUUGAUUAUGCUUGGUUAAGCCACACAAUUAUUUCUCUUGUAAUUUAAAACCAAUGCAAUGUGUUCGAUUUUUCAGGAUUUCUGUACGGAACAAUUUUUGAAUUUGUGAAACUGAAUAAGAUCUUUCUGACACAUGAUAUGAAACAAUGCUUUGGAGUUUGGACUGGAACAAGAAGAUACAAUUGGGCAGGUGAUUUAAUGGAAUCUUUAUAGAGGAAAUAGUUUUUGCUGCAUGUAAAUGGUGAAUCAUACAUUUUAUGAGUGAAAAAUGGAGUAUUAAGAUUCU